CCUUCUUUUAGAGCAGCGGUUCUCAGCCUGUGGGUUGAGAACCGCUGCCUUAUACCAUUUCAGACAAAUGGCUGUCCAGUCUCUUCUUCAAAACCUCCAGUAUUGGAGCAGCCACAACUUCUAGAGGCAAGCUCUUCCUUCCAUCCGUCCGUCUAUCAUGUAUCUUAUUUAUCUAUCUCAGAAUCAUAGAAUCACAGGGCUGGAAGGGACCUUGGAGGUCAUCUAGUCCAACCCCCUGCUCAAGCAGGAGACCCUCUACCAUUCCAGACAACUGGCUGUCCAGCCUCUUCUUAAAAACCUCCAGUGAUGGAGCCCCCGCAACGUCCGAAGUUGUGGUUAACUAAAUUUUUUAAUUAAGUGGGAAAAUGUGGGUCCCAGAGACCCCGAAUGCUAAUGGAUUAACCCUUGAGAAGGCAGAGUUCAUCUUUCUGAGCAUCGCAGGUGAACAAGUUGCACUGACAACUAUGUCGCAACCACGACACUGAGCGUGCGAGCAUGGCUAAUUCCCCCCCCCCAAAAGAGCUUCCUUCUUUUAUCCACUUCAAAGAGGGAAUCGUGAAUGCAAUCCCUGCUCUUUUCAAAAAGUUCCACCGACACACACACACACACACACACAAAAACCCUUUGUCCAAUUCACACAGGGACCUUCCGUAGACAAACAACUUUUUGUGCACAAGCGGUUGCUAAGCAAAGCAAUUCGCUCCCGGCAUCAGUCUGGUUGAUGAAGAGGCCCUAAAUUUAGGAUGCUCACAUGCCACUCCUGUUUUCGCUUUGCGGUUUCUCUCCAAAGUAACCGAAUCUUCCCUACUGUCAACCUGAAUACAGCGACUCCUCAACUUACAACAGUUCAUUUACUGACCGUUCGAAGUUGCAACGGCCCUGAAAAAAAAGGGACUUGCAAAGUUACCAAGGGCAUUGGAAAAAAAAAAGGGGGGGGGAAUUUUCCCCACAUUUAACAACCGUUGCGGCAUCUCCAUAGUUACGUGAUCAAAAUCCCGAUGCUUGUCAACAGACUCCUAUUUAUGACGGCUGCAGUGUCCCCGGCGGAUCACGGGAUCCCCUUUUCGGGUGACCUUUUGACGAGCAAAGUCCACGGGGAAGCCAGAUUCCCUUCACAAUUGUGUUACUAAUUUAACACCUGCAAUGAUUAAAUUUAACAACGGGGGAAGAAAGGUCGUAAAACGGACAAAAUUCACUUGGCAAGUGUCUCGUUUAACAACAGAGAGGUCAGGCUCAAUUGUGGUCGUUAAGCUGAGGACUACCUGUAGGUUAAUAACAGUCUACGCCAGGGGUCUUUAAACGUGGCCCGUUUAUGAUUUGGGGACUUCAACUCCCAGAAUUCCUCAGCCAGGCACGCUGGCUGGGGAAUUCUGGGAGUUGAAGUCCAAGCUGCCAAGGUUUGGAAAACCCAGGUCUAAGCUGACCUUCCUUCCAGAUGUUCGCUCAAUAUUUCAUGUCAUCCCGUUUUUAAGCUUUUUCUGCUUUGCCAGGGAUUUUCCCAAACCAGAUUUGCAGCUAUAAAAAGCUGUCUUCAUAUUCGGCAGCCUUUUAAUAAAGACUUAAUUAAGACCUAAAAAAAAAAAAACCAGAAUAACCUCCGUGGGGAAGAUUAGAGAAGCACCUGUCCAGAAUUUCUGCAGGCAUUGCUAUAAGAAACAAAGAAACAAACAAAAACAAAACAAAACCUGGCAAUUUGGCAGCUUAAAAGAAAUUAAUUUGGUCUUGAGUCAUGGAAAAAAAAAAAAAAAACAAGUGAAAAGAUUCCUUAAGAAGCGUUUCGGCCGCUACAGGGACUUCUCGAGUUCGUUUAGUGACGGUUCGAAGUCACGGGGGAAGCCAGAUUCACUUAACACCCAGGUUACUAAGUUAUCAACUAGAGUGAUUCAUUUAACAACUGCGGCAAGAAAGAUCGUCAAACGGGGGCAAAACUCACUUAAUAAAUGUCUCGCUUAGCAACCUAAAUUUUGUGCUCCGUUGCGGUCCUAAGGCGAGGACUACCUGUAUUCAAAUCUCUGCCUAGUCAGUGGGAAUUUUACUGGAGGUAAAUCUGCACUGCAGGAUUUCCAGAUCUGCUUAAAUAUCCUCGAUCACCGCUACCAUCACGCACAAUGGCAUUAUCUGAGGACGAUGGGAGAAAUCUAGGCGGGAAGCGUGGCGUGCAGACGCUUGAAAUAAACAAUUAAUAAAAUAAACGCAGCCAGUAAAGACAUUUUCAUGCUGGGAUCAAUCCUCUUUUGUUUAUAGUUUUUUUUUUUUCUCACGCCAAUUUGGGGCUGGAACCAUCUCUGCUAUGUAGCAGAUGUGCAAGAAGCGCUCGCAAAAGCCGUCUGUAUAUAUUUAUACGUAUUUUAUUUUAAAUGGAGAAAUAAACUUUUUCCAGCCGGCUGGUUAGAAAGCUAACCAGGCCGACUAUAAUUACGCCCAGUGCCUCAUUUAGCCAGAAACAGGUGGAGGCCAAAUCGGAGGAUUGUUUUUAAGGGGUGGAAAAAAAAAAUGCGCCACCCUGUCGCACAGUUGUGGUUUUGGGAUUCGAGACAUUGCUCGAAAAAUGUCUGGGACCCCAAAUUCUGCCUUUUUCCUGGGGUGGGAAGCCCUUCUUACCGAGUCUUCCAGCCCUAGAGAAAUUUUAUCGGCUUCCGUUUGAGGAUCGUGGGGGAGAAUCAAGAGUUUUGGUGCAAAAUUGGCAGUGGGUUUUCCUACCGAGAUUGAACAGGUUAUAAAAUAACUUCCCUGCUGGCUAUGCCAGCUGCAGGGUUCCCAGCCUUGAAUGUGAACACUUUUAAGAGAAAUGCGUGUUCUGUCUUAAAAUUGGCUUUUUCUUUCUUUUUCUU
Long non-coding RNA from Crotalus tigris (Tiger rattlesnake), 2831 nucleotides. RefSeq lists it as uncharacterized. The record is from RefSeq and is a predicted model, not a curated record. The transcript is spliced from 2 exons. NCBI's taxonomy places the organism in Eukaryota, Metazoa, Chordata, Lepidosauria, Squamata, Viperidae.